RNAcentral lists this ribosomal RNA (630 nucleotides) under Triticum aestivum (bread wheat). RNAcentral's name for it is "partial small subunit ribosomal RNA". The record is from RNAcentral. Lineage: Eukaryota; Viridiplantae; Streptophyta; Magnoliopsida; Poales; Poaceae.
ACAUUGUUUGCAGGCUCAGAUCCUGAUGACAUGCAGCACGACGAAUUGGAAGACUCAAGUCACAAUACCUAUGUCGACCAUGAUCCAUUGGACUAUGUCUACUCAAACCUCCCAGACCACACACACAUCCUAAAGCACGCCGCAAAUUGCGAUCACUGCAAGGCCAAGAAGUUUGUGUCUGAGGCCCCGGGAUUCUGUUGUCGCAGUGGGCAGAUCCAGCUGAAGCAACCGGAGCCCGUCCCGGAGCUAAUGAGGCUUUGGUCUAGCAUGGAUGCGGACUCAAGGCAUUUUUGGGAGAACAUACGGUUCUUCAACGGCCACUUCUCCUUCACAACCCUCGGCGUCAGCCUUGAUGAAAUCUACACAAACAUGAAGUCUGGGGUGUACACGUUCCGGGCGCACGGCACCAUCUACCACAACGUUCAUUCCUUCGGGCCAACAUCACGUCCAGAUCAUCUACAGUUGUACUUCUACAACGACGACCCAGGCCUAACCCAUCGCAAGGCUGCCACCGAGCAAUUAGACCAAGAUGUCGUCAGAAAGUUAGUGGACAUACUCAGGGAAAACCCUACUCCCAGCAGUUUAGGAGUUUGGGUGCGCACAGGGACAAUCUCGACGAUUACAGGAUAG